Molecule: ribosomal RNA, 449 nt
Filed under: uncultured bacterium
Lineage: Bacteria
Description: partial 16S ribosomal RNA
Rfam family: Bacterial small subunit ribosomal RNA
Source: RNAcentral
AACGAACGCUGGCGGCAUGCCUAACACAUGCAAGUCGAACGAAGGCUUCGGCCUUAGUGGCGCACGGGUGAGUAACGCGUGGGAAACUGCCUAUUGGUGGGGAAUAACGACGGGAAACUGUCGCUAAUACCGCAUAAGCCCUUCGGGGGAAAGAUUUAUCGCCGAGAGAUGUGCCCGCGUCCGAUUAGCUAGUUGGUGAGGUAAUGGCUCACCAAGGGGACGAACGGUAGCUGGUCUGAGAGGAUGAUCAGACACACUGGGACUGAGACACGGCCCAGACUCCUACGGGAGGCAGCAGUGGGGAAUAUUGGACAAUGGGCGAAAGCCUGAUCCAGCAAUGCCGCGUGAGUGAUGAAGGCCUUAGGGUUGUAAAGCUCUUUCGGGUGGGACGAUGAUGACGGUACCACCAGAAGAAGCCCCGGCUAACUUCGUGCCAGCCGCCGCGGUAA